RNAcentral lists this transfer RNA (74 nucleotides) under Pteropus alecto (black flying fox). It matches the Rfam family "tRNA". From Rfam's summary of the family: Transfer RNA (tRNA) molecules are approximately 80 nucleotides in length. Their secondary structure includes four short double-helical elements and three loops (D, anti-codon, and T loops). Further hydrogen bonds mediate the characteristic L-shaped molecular structure. tRNAs have two regions of fundamental functional importance: the anti-codon, which is responsible for specific mRNA codon recognition, and the 3' end, to which the tRNAs corresponding amino acid is attached (by aminoacyl-tRNA synthetases). tRNAs cope with the degeneracy of the genetic code in two manners: having more than one tRNA (with a specific anti-codon) for a particular amino acid; and 'wobble' base-pairing, i.e. permitting non-standard base-pairing at the 3rd anti-codon position. Lineage: Eukaryota; Metazoa; Chordata; Mammalia; Chiroptera; Pteropodidae. The record is from Rfam by way of RNAcentral.
GGCUCCAUAAUGUAGUGGUUAGCACAUCUGCUUUACACGCAGAAGGUCCUGGGUUCGUGACACAGGUGGAGCCA